This 259-nucleotide unclassified non-coding RNA is filed under the name uncultured Micrococcaceae bacterium. RNAcentral describes it as "contains 16S-23S intergenic spacer region". Lineage: Bacteria; Bacillati; Actinomycetota; Actinomycetes; Micrococcales; Micrococcaceae. The record is from RNAcentral.
UCCGAGUUGACCCCGGCAGUCUCCUAUGAGUCCCCACCAUCUCUGCGGCGGUCCGGUCCAUGUCAAGCCUUGGUAAGGUUCUUCGCGUUGCAUCGAAUUAAUCCGCAUGCUCCGCCGCUUGUGCGGGCCCCCGUCAAUUCCUUUGAGUUUUAGCCUUGCGGCCGUACUCCCCAGGCGGGGCACUUAAUGCGUUAGCUACGGCGCGGAAAACGUGGAAUGUCCCCCACACCUAGUGCCCAACGUUUACGGCAUGGACUAC